AUUGAACGCUGGCGGCAUGCCUUACACAUGCAAGUCGAACGGCAGCACGGGAGCAAUCCUGGUGGCGAGUGGCGAACGGGUGAGUAAUAUAUCGGAACGUGCCCGGUCGUGGGGGAUAACGUAGCGAAAGCUACGCUAAUACCGCAUACGAUCUACGGAUGAAAGCGGGGGAUCGCAAGACCUCGCGCGAUUGGAGCGGCCGAUAUCAGAUUAGGUAGUUGGUGAGGUAAAGGCUCACCAAGCCGACGAUCUGUAGCUGGUCUGAGAGGACGACCAGCCACACUGGGACUGAGACACGGCCCAGACUCCUACGGGAGGCAGCAGUGGGGAAUUUUGGACAAUGGGCGCAAGCCUGAUCCAGCAAUGCCGCGUGCAGGAUGAAGGCCUCGGUUGUAACGUAGCUUUUGUUACGGU
RNAcentral lists this ribosomal RNA (414 nucleotides) under uncultured bacterium. RNAcentral describes it as "bacterial SSU rRNA". It matches the Rfam family "Bacterial small subunit ribosomal RNA", at positions 30 to 445 of the family's 1533-position model. The record is from RNAcentral.